ACGGGAAGUGCCUUACGGGGCACGGAGAGUGGCGAACGGGUGAGUAACGCGUAACUGAUCUGCCCCUUAGACUAGGAUAACCUGUGGAAACAGAGGCUAAUACUGGAUAAGCUCAGCGGAGUUAGAGAGGGCUGAGGAAAGGUGAUAUAAGCGCUAAGGGAUGAGGUUGCGAGCCAUCAGCUAGUUGGUGAGGUAAAGGCUCACCAAGGCGGAGACGGCUAGGGGAUCUGAGAGGGUGGCCCCCCACACUGGGACUGAGACACGGCCCAGACUCCUACGGGAGGCAGCAGUAAGGGAUAUUGCACAAUGGACGGAAGUCUGAUGCAGCGACGUCGCGUGGGCGAAGAAGGUUUUCGGAUCGUAAAGCCCUUUUCUAUGUGGCGAGGAAGGACGGUAGCAUAGGAAUAAGUGUCGGCUAACUACGUGCCAGCAGCCGCGGUAAGACGUAGGACGCGAGCGUUAUCCGGAGUUACUGGGCGUAAAGAGCGCGCAGGCGGGAGGACAAGUUGCUUAUGAAAGGUACUGGCUAAACUGGUAUAAGCUAGGCAAAACUGUCUUUCUAGAGGGGAAGAGAGGGAAGCGGAAUUCCGGGUGUAGUGGUGAAAUGCGUAAAUAUCCGGAGGAAUAUCGGAGG
RNAcentral lists this ribosomal RNA (634 nucleotides) under uncultured bacterium. Its description in RNAcentral is "bacterial SSU rRNA". It matches the Rfam family "Bacterial small subunit ribosomal RNA", at positions 66 to 715 of the family's 1533-position model. The record is from RNAcentral.